AACAAGGCGUACCUGCGGACCUGCGGAGGGAUCAUUACAGAGUUCGUGCCCUCGCGGGUAGAUCUCCCACCCUUGUGUAUUUUCUACAUCUUGUUGCUUUGGCAGGCCGUUGGUUCGCCAACCACCGGCUCGCGGGCUGGUGCGUGCCUGCCAGAGGACCUCUCAAACUCGGUUUGUUAGUGUCGUCUGAGUACCAUAACAAUCGUUAAAACUUUUAACAAUGGAUCUCAGAUCGGAAGA
Molecule: unclassified non-coding RNA, 240 nt
Filed under: soil metagenome
Description: partial contains 5.8S ribosomal RNA, internal transcribed spacer 2, and large subunit ribosomal RNA
Source: RNAcentral